GACGAACGCUGGCGGCGUGCCUAAUACAUGCAAGUUGAGCGCUGAAGGUUGGUACUUGUACCAACUGGAUGAGCAGCGAACGGGUGAGUAACGCGUGGGGAAUCUGCCUUUGAGCGGGGGACAACAUUUGGAAACGAAUGCUAAUACCGCAUAAAAACUUUAAACACAAGUUUUAAGUUUGAAAGAUGCAAUUGCAUCACUCAAAGAUGAUCCCGCGUUGUAUUAGCUAGUUGGUGAGGUAAAGGCUCACCAAGGCGAUGAUACAUAGCCGACCUGAGAGGGUGAUCGGCCACAUUGGGACUGAGACACGGCCCAAACGCCUACGGGAGGCAGCAGUAGGGAAUCUUCGGCAAUGGGCGAAAGUCUGACCGAGCAACGCCGCGUGAGUGAAGAAGGGUUUCGGAUCGUAAAACUCUGUUGGUAGGGAAGAAAGUUGGUGAGAGUGGAAAGCUCAUCAAGUGACGGUAACUACCCAGAAAGGGACGGCUAACUACGUG
Molecule: ribosomal RNA, 497 nt
Filed under: uncultured bacterium
Lineage: Bacteria
Description: partial 16S ribosomal RNA
Rfam family: Bacterial small subunit ribosomal RNA
Source: RNAcentral